GUGUAUUAGAUACCCUAGUAGUCCUGGCCGUAAACGAUGUCGACUAGAUCGUGGUGCCUCUGACGGUUUCACGGUCGAAGCAAAAGUGCUAAGUCGACCGCCUGGGAAGUACGGUCGCAAGGCUAAAACUCAAAGGAAUUGACGGGGGCUCACACAAGCGGUGGAGCAUGUGGUUCAAUUCGAAGCAACGCGCAGAACCUUACCUGGGCUUGACAUGCCAGGAUUAUCCCUGUGAAAGCAGGGUAGGCCCUUCGGGGUACAACUGGUACAGGUGCUGCACGGCUGUCGCCAACU
RNAcentral lists this ribosomal RNA (294 nucleotides) under uncultured bacterium. Its description in RNAcentral is "partial 16S ribosomal RNA". It matches the Rfam family "Bacterial small subunit ribosomal RNA", at positions 773 to 1060 of the family's 1533-position model. The record is from RNAcentral.